Molecule: long non-coding RNA, 415 nt
Organism: Phyllostomus discolor (pale spear-nosed bat)
Lineage: Eukaryota; Metazoa; Chordata; Mammalia; Chiroptera; Phyllostomidae
Exons: 5
Source: RefSeq, a predicted model, not a curated record
ACGUGAUGGUCUGCUGAAACCCAGGCCCGCUCAACAGUUACCUGCUGAACAAAUCAUUUACCUUACAAAACACAUUACUCAUCAGUUACCUUGAAGAAAUCAUUUACCUCAGAGUUUUCUCAUUUCUUUACAAUGAAAACUGGGCCAGAGAAUGAGCUGCACUUAGGUGCCAGGUAUGUGAUGGAAACACAUGAAUGGGCUCAGCCAUCAGGCUGUGACAGUGUUGGAUGGCAGUGACAUCAUGACAGUGACAUGAUGGGUAGAGAUCUGCCUGCCUUUCCUAAAGGCAUUCCAAACCAAAGUUAAGGAAAUAAAAACAAUCUGUAGGCACAAUCAAACCCGGAGGUCUGUUUGCAGUCUCUGGGUUAGAUAGUAUUUCUCUCCCUUCCCAGUCCUCAUCAUUUUGUAGUACUUG